Brachypodium distachyon (stiff brome) is the source of this 2237-nucleotide long non-coding RNA. RefSeq lists it as uncharacterized. The transcript has 2 exons. The record is from RefSeq and is a predicted model, not a curated record. NCBI's taxonomy places the organism in Eukaryota, Viridiplantae, Streptophyta, Magnoliopsida, Poales, Poaceae.
CGACUCCCCUCUGAAAUCGACCUGAACCUUAUCCUCUCAUCCCCCUCACUCUCUCAGUCUCUCUCUGCUCCUUGCGUCUCCUCCCCCGAGCCCAGCCUUCCACUUCUCCUCCCCCGAGAUGAAGCCACCGGCUCGUCCGCUGGCUCGUCGGCGCGACCUCCCUCCCUCCUUCGUCAUCUCUCCUCCCCCUCCCUCGACCCCCUUCUUCCUCCUCCCCUCCCCCAAGCCCCUCCUUCCUCCUCUCCCCUCGCCGAGAUGCAGGAUGCAGCCGCCCGCUCGUCGGCGCGGCUGUGGAUAGGUGCGUCCUCCUUCCUCCUCUCUCCCCCCCCCCCCCCCCCACCCCCCAGCCGCCGAGACGCAUCUCGAGCGCCGCCGAUGAUGAUCUAGUAGUCGGCGCGCCCUCCGAUCUGCCGCUACCGGCGCCGGAAGGGCACGAGAGAUGGCCGGCGACCACCAUCCCCCGUUGUCAUCGUCCCUGAUGCAGCGGCAGCGAGCUUCUUCAUCGCCUGCAAGGUGGCCGAGUGCUGCUGUGUCGGCGGCGAUGGCAGGAAGGCGACGGGCGGCGCUGGCAUCCGGAACAACCUAGGGUUGUUGUUCAAGCGGGGGUUGAUGUGCGGCAAGGAGGUGGAGAUGCAGACGUGCAGUUGGUGCUGGUUGCCGUGGAGGUGGUCAGGAUGGCUUGGUUGUGCUUGCCCUGGUACGUGUUGAUCACCACGGUGGCGUCUGGUAUGACCUUUCCACCUGCUUCACCUGGCACUUCUACGCUGAACACCGGCAGUAGCACCUAUAUGCAUCCGUUUCCAGCAGGCUCUUGCAAAAGAAUUGGAUCCCAUUUCUUGUUGGAUGUAAUUUCAUUUUUAAAUAUUACAUCUGAGAGAGUUAGAUGUAAUUUUCAGGUUAAGAGUUACUUUACGAUUUUGUUGAAUGUAAUUUCAACAUGCCAGCUACUUUCAUGAGUUCAGUAGAUGUAGUUUUAAUGUUAGAAGUUACUUUCUGAUUUUUUUAGGUAGAGUUGUGAUGUUAAAAGUUACAUCUACUUGUAGCUUGGACAAAGUUUCAUGGGGAUGUGAACUGCUACUUUCGAUUGGAUCAAGAUCAGAAGUUAUUUUGCCAAGCAAUUAGGUUUAGUAGAUGGUUCACCCAUCACUAUUGGAUGUGAAUUUGAAUUACGUUAGAUGUAACUAUUAUUUGUAUUUUGAUGGUGUGUAGUGGAUCCUAUAUUACAAGAGAUAUGGUCGUAACUUUAGAUUACGUAAUUACAUCUGACAGAUAUGUAGGUACUUUUGAUACCAACUUAAUUAAUUAGGUGGUGAUAUGAUUGUCUGAUCACUAUUUGGUAUAAAUUCGACGUAACGUUAGAUGUUACUAUGAGUUACAUUAGCGUUUUGUUGGUGUAUUGUGGAUCCUAUAUUAUUAGAGAUAUGGAUGUAAUUUUUUAUUAUGUAAAUACAUCUAACAUAACUGUAGUUACUUUUGAUUUCAAGUUGAUUAGUGAGACGUGAUUUGAUUGUCUAAUCUAUCAAAUUUCUCUAGGCUUCAGCUUUGUGAUUUCUGAUCUCAUUAUUUCUGUACUUAUGCUGGUAGUAGCAUGCAGUUUUGCUGCCCCGGUGCUUUGUUACAUUUUUAGCACACUAAUUAGUAAUUUUCACUUCAUAACCUUCGGCUUAUUCUAUUGCUACUGUUUUAUUUUCUACUACCUCCGUUUCUUGUCGUCGUUUUAGUUCAAAUUUAGGGACGGAGGGAGUAUUAUUUUGUGCUGCCGUCAUUCAUUUGCUGUUUGCGGGGUGGAUGGGAAGACGUCUGCAUCCGUUGAGAUUACUUCCAGACACGACAGUUACUGCAGCUACUAGAAGAAGUUUCUAUUGUUUUUGGGUUAAUGGAAUGUUUUCUUCAUUAGUCAAGGGUGGAUGGGAAUGGGAUUUGCAUCCAUCAAGGUUACUUCCGCACAUACAAGGCAUUAACUGCAACGAACAGAACAAAUUUCUGCUCUUCUUGGGUUACUGGAAUGCUUUCGUCAUUGGACAGUCUGGCAGAACAAUCUUCUUUCUGCCUGAAGUGCAAGAAUUUUCUUUGUCUAUAUAGACCAGUAGAUGUAAUUUUGUUCUCAUUACUUUCUUAGAUCUAUAGAAUUAUUUUGAAGCCAGCAGGAAAUUUCUGACACGUAUAUUGUACUUUUUUUCUCAUAUAUAAUUCUGAUGCACACUGUACAUGUCACUCCAGUUGUUUUUCACUUUUUA